AUUGUGGCCCUAUUUUAACCCAUACAUAUUGCAUCUCGUCUCAUUAUUCCGGGCUGGGCAGGCAAUGGGGGACUAGAGAAGUCUACAUUUUUUCCAUCUCCUAUCAACAGAAAUGUUGUUCUGAGAUGUUGUGACAUGUCUUGAAGUUGAUGGUUAAUCAUUCAUAGAUUUUGAAAGUUAUUGUUACAAAGACAGUAAAUACCAUAGGGUUAAAAUACUAAUUGCACAACCAAGUAUACUGAGGCCAAUGCCCUAGCAAAUUAAUUCCUUUAGUUACAACUGCCUAAUCUACUUCCUUAUAAAUUAAGAGGAAACCAUUUUCUGAAAAACAGCAUUUUUAAAUUGAAAGAUUUGUUAAAACCAAGUUGUUGUUUGGAUGCAAGUAUUAAUAUGUAUUUGUUCAUGUUCAGGUGAUCACUAAGCAGGUGGAUGCUCCCUAACCUGGGGAUGAGGCAGCCCACAUGACAUCUACAAGCACCUACAUUUGUGAGCAACUAUUUUCAAGAGUGAAGCACACUAAGAGUAAAAUGAGCACAUUGAGAACUCACUGAGAAUUGCAGCUACUUCCAUCGAACCAGAUACUGAUGCACUAGUUUCUCAAGUACAGUUUCAAAUAUCCCAGUAGUUUUGUGUUGCCCUCUUUCCUUUUACUUUUAUAAUAAAAAUAUUUUAAAAAUCA
This 679-nucleotide long non-coding RNA is filed under the name Pogona vitticeps (central bearded dragon). Its description in RNAcentral is "lncRNA (ENSPVIG00000021586.1)". Lineage: Eukaryota; Metazoa; Chordata; Lepidosauria; Squamata; Agamidae. The record is from RNAcentral.